RNAcentral lists this non-coding RNA (1142 nucleotides) under Capsicum annuum. RNAcentral describes it as "Eukaryotic small subunit ribosomal RNA". It matches the Rfam family "Eukaryotic small subunit ribosomal RNA", at positions 1 to 1145 of the family's 1831-position model. The record is from Rfam by way of RNAcentral. Lineage: Eukaryota; Viridiplantae; Streptophyta; Magnoliopsida; Solanales; Solanaceae.
UACUUGGUUGAUCCUACCAGUAGUCAUAUGCUUGUCUCAAAGAUUAAGACAUGCAUGUGUAAGUAUGAACAAAUUCAGACAGUGAAACUGCGAAUGGUUCAUUAAAUCAGUUAUAGUUUGUUUGAUAGUAUCUACUACUCAGAUAAUCGUAUUAAUUCUAGAGCAAAUACGUGCAUCAAACCCUGACUUCUGGAAGGGAUGCAUUUAUUAUAUAAAAGGUCAACACAGGCUCUACCCAUUGAUGCAUUGAUUCAUGAUAACUAGAUGGAUCUCACGACCAUUGUGCCGACGACGCAUCAUUCAAAUUCUUCCCUAUCAACUUUUGAUGGUAGGAUAGCGACCUACUAUGGUGGUGAUGGAUGAUGGGUGAUGGAGAAUUAGUAGUUGAUUUUGGACAGGGAGCCUAAGGAACAGCUACUAUAUCCAAGAAUUCAGCAGUCAUGCAAAUUAUCUAAUCCUGACACAGAGAGGUAGGGAUAGUAAAUAACAAUACCAGACUCAAUGAGUCUAGUAAUUGGAAUAAAUACAAUCUAAAUCCCUUAAUGUGGAUCUAUUGGAGGGUAAGUCCUAUGCCAGCAGCCGCGGUAAUUCCAGCUCCAAUAGCAUAUAUUUAAGUUGUUGCAGUUAAAAGCUCAUAGUUGGACUUUAGGAUGGGACGGCCGAUCCGUCUAUUGUGUGCACCGAUCAUCUCAUCCCUUAUGUCGGUGAUGUGCUACUGGCCUUAACUAGUUGGGUCGUGCCUCCGGUGCUGGUACUUUGAAGAAAUUAGAGUGCUUAAAGUAAGCCUACGCUCUGUAUACAUUAGCAUGGGAUAACAUUAUAGGAUUUUGGUCGUAUUACGUUGACCUUUGGGAUCGGAGUAAUGAUUAAUAGGGAAAGUCGGGGGCAUUCAUAUUUCAUAGUCAGAGGUGAAAUUCUUGGAUUUAUGAAAGUCAAACAACUGCGAAAGUAUUUUCCAAGAAUGUUUUCAUUAAUCAAGAACGAAAGAUGAGGGCUUGAAAAUAAUCAGAUACCGUCCUAGUCUCAACCAUAAAUGAUGCCGACCAGGGAUGGGCGAAUGUUGCUUAUAGGACUCUGCUGCCACCUGAUGAGAAAUCAAAGUUUUUGGGUUCAGGGGGGGUAUGGUUUCAAGGGGAAUAUUU